ACGAACGCUGGCGGCUUGCCUAAUACCUGCAAGUAGAACGCUGAAGAGAGGAGCUUGCUCUUCUUGGAUGAGUUGCGAACGGGUGAGUAACGCGUAGGUAACCUGCCUUGUAGCGGGGGAUAACUAUUGGAAACGAUAGCUAAUACCGCAUAACAAUGGAUGACACAUGUCAUUUAUUUGAAAGGGGCAAUUGCUCCACUACAAGAUGGACCUGCGUUGUAUUAGCUAGUAGGUGAGGUAAUGGCUCACCUAGGCGACGAUACAUAGCCGACCUGAGAGGGUGAUCGGCCACACUGGGACUGAGACACGGCCCAGACUCCUACGGGAGGCAGCAGUAGGGAAUCUUCGGCAAUGGGGGCAACCCUGACCGAGCAACGCCGCGUGAGUGAAGAAGGUUUUCGGAUCGUAAAGCUCUGUUGUAAGUCAAGAACGGGUGCGAGAGUGGAAAGUUCACACUGUGACGGUAGCUUACCAGAAAGGGACGGCUAACUACGUG
RNAcentral lists this ribosomal RNA (496 nucleotides) under uncultured bacterium. Its description in RNAcentral is "partial 16S ribosomal RNA". It matches the Rfam family "Bacterial small subunit ribosomal RNA", at positions 29 to 507 of the family's 1533-position model. The record is from RNAcentral.